GACGAACGCUGGCGGCGUGCCUAAUACAUGCAAGUUGAGCGCUGAAGGUUGGUACUUGUACCAACUGGAUGAGCAGCGAACGGGUGAGUAACGCGUGGGGAAUCUGCCUUUGAGCGGGGGACAACAUUUGGAAACGAAUGCUAAUACCGCAUAAAAACUUUAAACACAAGUUUUAAGUUUGAAAGAUGCAAUUGCAUCACUCAAAGAUGAUCCCGCGUUGUAUUAGCUAGUUGGUGAGGUAAAGGCUCACCAAGGCGAUGAUACAUAGCCGACCUGAGAGGGUGAUCGGCCACAUUGGGACUGAGACAAGGCCCAAACCCCUACGGGAGGCAGCAGUAGGGAAUCUUCGGCAAUGGACGAAAGUCUGACCGAGCAACGCCGCGUGAGUGAAGAAGGUUUUCGGAUCGUAAAACUCUGUUGGUAGAGAAGAACGUUGGUGAGAGUGGAAAGCUCAUCAAGUGACGGUAACUACCCAGAAAGGGACGGCUAACUACGUG
RNAcentral lists this ribosomal RNA (497 nucleotides) under uncultured bacterium. Its description in RNAcentral is "partial 16S ribosomal RNA". It matches the Rfam family "Bacterial small subunit ribosomal RNA", at positions 28 to 507 of the family's 1533-position model. The record is from RNAcentral.